UACGAAGGGUGCAAGCGUUAAUCGGAAUUACUGGGCGUAAAGCGUGCGUAGGCGGUUUGUUAAGUCUGUUGUGAAAUCCCCGGGCUCAACCUGGGAAUGGCAAUGGAUACUGGCAAGCUAGAGUGUGUCAGAGGAUGGUAGAAUUCCACGUGUAGCAGUGAAAUGCGUAGAGAUGUGGAGGAACACCGGUGGCGAAGGCGGCUCACUGGCUCAUUACUGACGCUCAGGCGCGAUAGCGUGGGGAGCAAACAGG
RNAcentral lists this ribosomal RNA (253 nucleotides) under uncultured bacterium. RNAcentral describes it as "partial 16S ribosomal RNA". It matches the Rfam family "Bacterial small subunit ribosomal RNA", at positions 524 to 776 of the family's 1533-position model. The record is from RNAcentral.